RNAcentral lists this ribosomal RNA (253 nucleotides) under uncultured bacterium. RNAcentral's name for it is "partial 16S ribosomal RNA". It matches the Rfam family "Bacterial small subunit ribosomal RNA", at positions 524 to 776 of the family's 1533-position model. The record is from RNAcentral.
UACGGAGGGUGCAAGCGUUAAUCGGAAUUACUGGGCGUAAAGCGCGCGCAGGUGGCUUGAUAAGCCGGUUGUGAAAGCCCCGGGCUCAACCUGGGAAUGGCAUCUGGAACUGUGAGUCUAGAGUGCAGGAGAGGGAGGUAGAAUUCCCGGUGUAGCGGUGAAAUGCGUAGAGAUGGGGAGGAAUACCGGAGGCGAAGGCGGCCUUUUGGGCUUGCACUGACGCUGAGGUGCGAAAGCGUGGGUAGCAAACAGG